UACGAAGGGGGCUAGCGUUGUUCGGAAUUACUGGGCGUAAAGCGCACGUAGGCGGGUUCUUAAGUCAGGGGUGAAAUCCUGGAGCUCAACUCCAGAACUGCCUUUGAUACUGGGAAUCUCGAGUUCGGGAGAGGUGAGUGGAACUGCGAGUGUAGAGGUGAAAUUCGUAGAUAUUCGCAAGAACACCAGUGGCGAAGGCGGCUCACUGGCCCGAUACUGACGCUGAGGUGCGAAAGCGUGGGGAGCAAACAGG
Molecule: ribosomal RNA, 253 nt
Filed under: uncultured bacterium
Lineage: Bacteria
Description: partial 16S ribosomal RNA
Rfam family: Bacterial small subunit ribosomal RNA
Source: RNAcentral